CCUACGGGAGGCAGCAGUGGGGAAUCUUGCGCAAUGGGCGAAAGCCUGACGCAGCAACGCCGCGUGCGGGAAGAAGGCUUUCGGGCUGUAAACCGCUUUCAGCAGGAACGAAAAUGACGGCACCUGCAGAAGAAGGAGCGGCCAACUAUGUGCCAGCAGCCGCGGUGAUACAUAGGCUUCAAGCGUUGUCCGGAUUUAUUGGGCGUAAAGAGUUCGUAGGCGGUCGAGUAAGUCGGGUGUGAAAAUUCUGGGCUCAACCCAGAGACGCCACCCGAUACUGCUUGACUUGAGUUCGAUAGGGGAGUGGGGAAUUCCUAGUGUAGCGGUGAAAUGCGCAGAUAUUAGGAGGAACACCGGUGGCGAAGGCGCCACUCUGGAUCGAUACUGACGCUGAGGAACGAAAGCAUGGGUAGCAAACAGGAUUAGAUACCCUGGUAGUCCAUGCCGUAAACGGUGGGCACUAGGUGUGGGUUUCUAUUAACGAAAUCCGCGCCGUCGCUAACGCAUUAAGUGCCCCGCCUGGGGAGUACGGUCGCAAGACUAAAACUCAAAUGAAUUGACGG
RNAcentral lists this ribosomal RNA (563 nucleotides) under uncultured bacterium. Its description in RNAcentral is "bacterial SSU rRNA". It matches the Rfam family "Bacterial small subunit ribosomal RNA", at positions 338 to 916 of the family's 1533-position model. The record is from RNAcentral.